RNAcentral lists this ribosomal RNA (243 nucleotides) under uncultured bacterium. RNAcentral describes it as "partial 16S ribosomal RNA". It matches the Rfam family "Bacterial small subunit ribosomal RNA", at positions 90 to 334 of the family's 1533-position model. The record is from RNAcentral.
CGUGAGCGGCGGACGGGUGAGUAACGCGUGGGUAACCUGCCUCAUACAGGGGAUAACAGUCAGAAAUGACUGCUAAUACCGCAUAAGACCACGGUACCGCAUGGUACAGUGGUAAAAACUCCGGUGGUAUGAGAUGGACCCGCGUCUGAUUAGGUAGUUGGUGGGGUAACGGCCUACCAAGCCGACGAUCAGUAGCCGACCUGAGAGGGUGACCGGCCACAUUGGGACUGAGACACGGCCCAA